RNAcentral lists this unclassified non-coding RNA (218 nucleotides) under uncultured Tomentella. RNAcentral describes it as "sequence contains ITS2". The record is from RNAcentral. Lineage: Eukaryota; Fungi; Basidiomycota; Agaricomycetes; Thelephorales; Thelephoraceae.
ACACCUCAACCCUCAGGGCUUGCCAUGAUGGGCUUGGACUUUGGGGGUCUUGUUGGCCUGUGAGCCAGCUCCCCUUAAAUGAAUUAGCUUGCCAGUGUUUGGUGGCGUCACAGGUGUGAUAACUAUCUACGCUUGUGGUUUCCCACCAGAUAACCUUCAGCGAUGGAGGUUCGCUGGAGCUCAUAAAUGUCUCUCCCCAGUGAGGACAGAUUUUGACC